AUGUCAUUAAUUAACACUUUCCACUGAAAUGACUAUAUAAGGACAAAGCCACAAGUUUUGACCCUAUAUGGACAUAAAAUGGUUCUUUGUUGAAAUGACAGUAUAACCACAAAAACAACAUCACAAACACCCUGAAGUUAGGAGGACGCAGCCAUCAUUCUAGAAUGUGUUGAGCCAUUUGCAUUUACAUCAAUCCAGCAUGCUGUAAUUGGUGAGCUAGUGACCUCACAGAGGCCUUUGCACUGAAUUCAACCCGUGGUGAUCAGAUCAGUGUGGAAAAAAGAAUGAGCUAGUGAACUCACAGAAAGUGCUUUAAGUCCCAUUUACUCUUCUGGAGUGACACAAGAGGCAUUUAAGAAGAGCUGAGGAGCUGGCCUUCUGCAGUUAUAAAAACUCAGGACCUAUUUAUCUGGAAUGACUACAACCCUUGGAAUUUAUUAAAAAUCAAUAAUAGUACUGUUUUAACAUGUAGUGGCAAAUGAGACAUACAGCUUGUCUCAGUUGGCCAUCUUCACAAAUUAAGGCCAUAGAAUCCAAGCCUUUAUUUGUUUUGACCACAAUAGGAAAUUCUAUCUAUCCAGUUACUGAAGCUUGCAGAAAAUUGAAUUGAUUUAUGGACUAGCACAGGGAGGGAGAAAGAAUAUUCUGGAUGCUGAAUGCUUACAAAGGAUGGAUAGCUCACUUUACCUUUAGGGAGAAUGCUUUUGAAAAAUCUCUCCGCAAUGACCACAACAUCUCUUUGCAGAGAAAAGAGAGGAGAAUUAAAAAGGGAGAAAGAAUAUUCUGGAUGCUGAAUGCUUACAAAGGAUGGAUAGCUCACUUUACCUUUAGGGAGAAUGCUUUUGAAAAAUCUCUCCGCAAUGACCACAACAUCUCUUUGCAGAGAAAAGAGAGGAGAAUUAAAAGUAAGUAAAGUCCAAUUAAAGGAAACAUGGUGAAAAUUCAGGUAAUUUUGCUAGGGACAAAUAUUUUUCAGCUCAGUUCCAUAAGGGAUUAGUUUAAACAGAUAUCUCAAAAUUGCACAAUACAUUUAUAAAACUGUCAAUAACAUUUCUACUGGGAAGAACCCAUCACUAAAUACACUCCCUAGUUAAAACAGAUUAAUGUUUUCCAGUUUUUCCUAGGCAAGUAAUCUUUCCCCUCAAGAAAAUUUUGCUCGGUUAGAUGACCUGGGAAUGAAUGUCUGUCACAGAUGCAACAGAUUCACGCCUGAAAAUAUUAUAGCUGUUCUAAGAGACAGUCUACAUGGGAACACUCCAAAAAGAUAUUCCAAAUGAACUGAAGGUGUGAAUGUAAAGUGGAUUAUUUAAACUGAAUUGCAUUCAGAAUUAAUGCGGCUUUAUUCAGUUUAGCUUAUUUUAGUUUAGCUAAACCGAAUUAAGGGCAGCCACUAUAAUUCUGAAUUAGAGUAUCCACACAGAGGUUUAAUGCAAUUUAACUAAUCCUCUUUAAAUUAAUACUUGUAGUUAAUUCAGAUUAACUUUCCUGAGUGUUCCUGCGUAGACAAGUCCUAAAAUUUGAGUAGCAUGAGAGGUG
Long non-coding RNA from Mauremys reevesii (Reeves's turtle), 1536 nucleotides. RefSeq lists it as uncharacterized. NCBI's taxonomy places the organism in Eukaryota, Metazoa, Chordata, Testudines, Geoemydidae. The transcript has 3 exons. The record is from RefSeq and is a predicted model, not a curated record.